This 469-nucleotide ribosomal RNA is filed under the name Chloropicon mariensis. Its description in RNAcentral is "partial Bacterial large subunit ribosomal RNA". It matches the Rfam family "Bacterial large subunit ribosomal RNA", at positions 785 to 1210 of the family's 2925-position model. Lineage: Eukaryota; Viridiplantae; Chlorophyta; Chloropicophyceae; Chloropicales; Chloropicaceae. The record is from RNAcentral.
AACGUUGCAUUGUUAUCCGAUGAGGGGUGUAAUGUAGGUGAAAGGCCAAUCUGACAGGGAGAUAGCUGGUACUCCUCGAAACAUAUUUAAGUAUGACUCCAAAAGUAUAUAACAUAGCAGGUACAGCACUGAUUACCAUACGACAUGAAAGUGUAAGCUUUUGUGUCGUUCAAUUGGGGGGUUGCAAAACUCUAUCAUUGGUAGUUAACCUCGGAAUUACUAUGUUCUAGUCAUUGGAUUUCAGACUGCUCAUGAUAAGGUGGGUGGUCGAGACGGAAACAGCCGUGAGCAUAUGUUAAGGUCCCAAAAUAAUUGUUAAGUGAAAUUAAGGAAGUGAGCGUUCGAAUACAACUAUGCAGUGUGCUUGGUAGUGGCAAUCUGUUAAUGAAAGUGUAACAACUCAGUAGUCUAAUGAAUGCUUGCGCCGAAAAUUAACGGGUCUAGACAAUUUACCGAAACUAUGCCAACA